UCAACACACAACCAUGCACACAAAAAAUAAAAAGUAC
Molecule: ribosomal RNA, 37 nt
Filed under: Anophryoides haemophila
Lineage: Eukaryota; Ciliophora; Oligohymenophorea; Philasterida; Glauconematidae
Description: partial Bacterial small subunit ribosomal RNA
Source: RNAcentral